RNA transcript from Dipodomys ordii (Ord's kangaroo rat), 762 nucleotides. It is a transcript of the gene named V-type proton ATPase subunit E 1 pseudogene, with no coding region annotated. The transcript has a single exon. The record is from RefSeq and is a predicted model, not a curated record. Lineage: Eukaryota; Metazoa; Chordata; Mammalia; Rodentia; Heteromyidae.
GUCUCUUGUCCCGUCCCGUCCUGUCCGGCCUUCGUUCUUGAAUUCGGUCGUUUGUCCGACUGACCUCGCCUCGCUUCUGCCAUGGCCCUCAGCGAUGCUGACGUUCAGAAGCAGACGAAGCACAUGAUGGCUUUUAUUGAACAAGAAGCCAAUGAGAAAGCAGAAGAAAUCGAUGCAAAGGCCGAAGAAGAAUUCAACAUUGAGAAAGGGCGUCUUGUGCAGACCCAGAGACUGAAGAUUAUGGAGUACUAUGAGAAGAAAGAAAAGCAGAUCGAGCAGCAAAAGAAAAUUCAGAUGUCCAAUUUGAUGAAUCAAGCAAGGCUGAAGGUCCUCCGAGCUAGAGACGACCUUAUCACUGAUCUGCUGAAUGAGGCAAAACAGAGACUCAGCAAGGUGGUGAAGGAUACAAACAGAUACCAAGUGCUGCUGGAUGGGCUGGUCUUACAGGGCCUGUACCAGCUGUUGGAGCCCUGGAUGUUUGUGUGCUGCAGGAAGCAAGACUUCCCUCUGGUUAAGGCUGCAGUGCAGAACGCAAUUCUGAUGUAUAAGAUUGUCACCAAAAAAGAUGCUGAUGUCCAGAUUGAUCAGGAGGCCUACCUGCCUGAGGACGUAGCUGGUGGAGUUGAGAUCUACAAUGGGGACCGCAAGAUAAAGGUGUCCAACACCCUGGAAAGCCGGCUGGACCUUAUAGCCCAGCAGAUGAUGCCCAAAGUGCGGGGAGCCUUAUUUGGUGCCAAUGCCAACAGGAAGUUUUUGGACUAA